UUGGGCCUGCUGCUGGUCC
Molecule: unclassified non-coding RNA, 19 nt
Filed under: synthetic construct
Source: RNAcentral